UACGUAGGGUGCAAGCGUUGUCCGGAAUCAUUGGGCGUAAAGCGCGCGUAGGUGGCUCUGUAAGUCCGUUGUGAAAGUCAAAGGCUCAACCUUUGAAUGCCGAUGGAUACUGCAGAGCUAGAGUACGGAAGAGGCGAGUGGAAUUCCUGGUGUAGCGGUGGAAUGCGCAGAUAUCAGGAGGAACACCAAUAGCGAAGGCAGCUCGCUGGGACGUUACUGACACUAAGGCGCGAAAGCGUGGGGAGCGAACGAGG
Molecule: ribosomal RNA, 254 nt
Filed under: uncultured bacterium
Lineage: Bacteria
Description: partial 16S ribosomal RNA
Rfam family: Bacterial small subunit ribosomal RNA
Source: RNAcentral